Molecule: ribosomal RNA, 253 nt
Filed under: uncultured bacterium
Lineage: Bacteria
Description: partial 16S ribosomal RNA
Rfam family: Bacterial small subunit ribosomal RNA
Source: RNAcentral
UACGAAGGGUGCAAGCGUUAAUCGGAAUUACUGGGCGUAAAGCGCGCGUAGGUGGUUCAGUAAGUUGGAAGUGAAAUCCCCGGGCUCAACCUGGGAACUGCUGUCAAAACUGCUGAGCUAGAGUACGGUAGAGGGUGGUGGAAUUUCCUGUGUAGCGGUGAAAUGCGUAGAUAUAGGAAGGAACACCAGUGGCGAAGGCGACCACCUGGACUGAUACUGACACUGAGGUGCGAAAGCGUGGGGAGCAAACAGG